Molecule: long non-coding RNA, 1536 nt
Filed under: Homo sapiens (human)
Lineage: Eukaryota; Metazoa; Chordata; Mammalia; Primates; Hominidae
Description: non-protein coding lnc-SCLT1-5:1
Source: RNAcentral
UUCAGUUCCAAAAGUCUCAGGGAAGAACUGAUUGGUUUGCUGGGUAAGAAUUCUGCCAAUAUUCAAUAGCCAAUACUAUGUGGUCAGGAGGUGGGAUCUCAUGGUAUGGAGAAGAUGAUUCAUCCCUGUGGAUGAAGUGGUGCUGGGGUGGGAAGGGAAAGAAACCAUAGGUCUGUGAUAUUCAUGCUUUCCUUUUUCUGGAAAUCCCUCUUUCUCUUAUUUCUGCCACCUGUGUUCAAACGAUUCUCCUGCCUCAGCCUCUCGAGUAGCUGGGAUUACAGGUGCACGUCACCAUGCCCGGCUAAUUUUUUGUAUCUUUAGUGGAGACAGGGUUUCACCAUACUGGCCAGGCUGGAAACUGCACCUCUUAUUUUAUUUUAUUUCAUUAUUUUUUUGAGACAGGGUCUUGUUCUGUCAUCCAGGCUGGAGUGCAGUGGCGAUCACGGCUCAUUGAAACCUCUGUCUCCUUGGCUCAAUCAAUCCUCCUACCUCAGCCUCCUGAGUAGCUGAGACCACAAGCACCCGCCAUCACACCUGGCUAAUUUUUUGUAUUACACCUUCUCGCAUAAUGUAGUGAAGACCCCUCUACCAUCGUGGCUGGGCCUUGGACGUUAGUGACGAGAGUGAAGACAUCCUGCCAGAAGUUCAUCCAUUUAGGCCCUGAGUACUGCAGGAAGGAGUGGGAGACAGAAGUAGGGAAAAAGGAGCCUUGGCACAAUGCCAAGGAUCAGGAGGGGCGAUCACCCACUGGGAUGACAAGAGCUGCGGGGCUUUUGCCUGCGUUACGGAGAAAAAUGCUGAGAGACCAGUGAUUCAGGGCUGAGUGCACAAGUUUUACUGCCAAAUGGGAAACCCAAUCCAGUAUAGUUAGACUGCGAAGAUGAAGUUGGGGGAGGAGAAAGGCAGUGGGUCUUGUCAAGCCAAGAUUCCACCCGUGGUCUGGGUCACUUAUCAGACAAGCGGUACCUCUAGCCUUGAUCGGCUAGCGAUUCCUGGACUUGUGACCUGAGCCUGCUGGCUACCCUGGGUGGGAUUUGAGAAUAAGCCUUAUCUACUGGGCCAGCCAGGAACGGCUGUGGCUGGAGACCGCAGUACUGUAUCGGGGCCCUGAAUGUCGGAGCUGUGCUUUGAAGCUGUGCCCCGGACUGCUGGUCUGGCAGGGCCUGGGUGGGGAAGAGGAGGCCUGCAGAGAAAAGUUGCAACCCAGAGGUCAGGGCAGCUCAUCUUUGGUUGCUAAAACUGCGUGAAGGGCAGCAAAGUCGGGAACCUCGCACGUGCCAGUGUGGAGAGCAGGCCACCUCACUCCAGCACUCCAGGCUUUUGAGACUUCCUUCCUGCAUCUGGACACCAUCCCAAGCCAAGAGCACCAACUGAGAGUUGGACUUUGAUAGAAGACAGAAAAAUACAGUUAACAGGAAAUUUAAGAACACUCUUGCCCCACAUCCAAGCUGGGCAGGGGGUUUAGGAAUAAGACCAGUUACAGCAAGUUUUAUUUAUUUAUUUAUUUUUAUUUUUAUUUUUUUUUUUUGAGUUGGA